Molecule: ribosomal RNA, 429 nt
Filed under: Bacillota bacterium
Lineage: Bacteria; Bacillati; Bacillota
Description: Firmicutes bacterium partial 16S ribosomal RNA
Rfam family: Bacterial small subunit ribosomal RNA
Source: RNAcentral
UAGGGAAUCUUCGGCAAUGGACGGAAGUCUGACCGAGCAACGCCGCGUGAGUGAAGAAGGUUUUCGGAUCGUAAAGCUCUGUUGUUAGAGAAGAACGUUGGUAGGAGUGGAAAAUCUACCAAGUGACGGUAACUAACCAGAAAGGGACGGCUAACUACGUGCCAGCAGCCGCGGUAAUACGUAGGUCCCGAGCGUUGUCCGGAUUUAUUGGGCGUAAAGCGAGCGCAGGCGGUUCUUUAAGUCUGAAGUUAAAGGCAGUGGCUUAACCAUUGUACGCUUUGGAAACUGGAGGACUUGAGUGCAGAAGGGGAGAGAGGAAUUCCAUGUGUAGCGGUGAAAUGCGUAGAUAUAUGGAGGAACACCGGUGGCGAAAGCGGCUCUCUGGUCUGUAACUGACGCUGAGGCUCGAAAGCGUGGGGAGCAAACAGG